Glycine soja is the source of this 979-nucleotide long non-coding RNA. RefSeq lists it as uncharacterized. Lineage: Eukaryota; Viridiplantae; Streptophyta; Magnoliopsida; Fabales; Fabaceae. The record is from RefSeq and is a predicted model, not a curated record. The transcript is spliced from 7 exons.
GUCAUUCCACUAGUGCAAUAUUGUACUAGGUGCUACUGAAUCUUUUUGUAACUUCAGUCUCCAAUAACUUAACUUCUCGAUCGUCAUACAACAAUUGCAUGAUGACACCACACCUGUAUAAUUCCAUUCUUGAUUUGCAAUUAGUUUUCUGGUAAAGGGGUAUUUCUACUUGUUCAAUGGCUGCAGGUUGUGGAGAUCACUAAAGGAAGCAAGGUUAUGUAUGAACUUGACCAAAAGACUGGAUUGAUUAAGGUUGAUCGGGUUUUGUAUUCAUAGUUGUUUAUCCAUAUAACUAUGGUUUUAUCCCUCGAACACUGUGUGAAGACAAUGAUCCAAUUGACAUAAUUCAUUCUAAGACAAAAAGAAUGAGCACAAGGAGGUAGUUGUUAAUGAUUUUUUACCUGCAAGCGUUGCUAUUGAUGCCAUCCAGUAUCCAAUGUAGAAGCAAACAAAAUUGGGGAAGGUUAAAGACUGCUAUGCAAAGAGGUGCAAUUGGACUAAUUUAACUGGACUUGUAUGCAUCACCCUAGGAGCAGGGCUUAUGCAAUUGUGGGUUGCUAUAGUGAUGGGAAUAUUAUCUGGGAGCAUUCCAUGGGUAACUAUGAUGAUUUUGCAUAAAAAGUCAACCUUACUACAAAAGGUUGAAAGUCAUAGGAGAUUUCGAAUCAUCCGUUCCUGGGAUCAAGAUGGGUAUCGUGUUGCAGAGGUUGAAUGGCUACAAGAUAUUUAGCCACCAGAAGGAACAAGUGAAAGAGAGACUAUAAGUUCACUAAAAUUUUGUUAUGAAUGUGUUUGUAAGCUCACUGUCAUGUUGGAUAGAAUGCUAGUUUAUUUGACUAUCUGCAUGCAUAUGAGAUUUUUUUGGGUGUAUAAUGGUGGUAAUGGGGCUUGUACUUAAGAUUUCAUGCAAACUACUAUAACUCCCACUGUUUGGCCAACCCUAGUGGUUUGAAUAAUGAGAUCUUUGAUUGCCCUUCAA